This 497-nucleotide ribosomal RNA is filed under the name uncultured bacterium. RNAcentral's name for it is "partial 16S ribosomal RNA". It matches the Rfam family "Bacterial small subunit ribosomal RNA", at positions 28 to 507 of the family's 1533-position model. The record is from RNAcentral.
GAUGAACGCUGGCGGCGUGCCUAAUACAUGCAAGUCGAGCGAACAGACGAGGAGCUUGCUCCUCUGACGUUAGCGGCGGACGGGUGAGUAACACGUGGAUAACCUACCUAUAAGACUGGGCUAACUUCGGGAAACCGGAGCUCAUACCGGAUAAUAUAUUGAACCGCAUGGUUCAAUAGUGAAAGACGGUUUUGCUGACACUUAUAGAUGGAUCCGCGCCGCAUUAGCUAGUUGGUAAGGUAACGGCUUACCAAGGCAACGAUGCGUAGCCGACCAGAGAGGGUGAGCUGGCACACUGGAACUGAGACACGGUCCAGACUCCUACGGGAGGCAGCAGUAGGGAAUAUGCCACAAUGGGCGAAAGCCUGACGGAGCAACGCCGCGUGAGUGAUGAAGGUCUUCGGAUCGUAAAACUCUGUUAUUAGGAAAGAACAAAUGUGUAAGUAACUAUGCACGUCUUGACGGUACCUAAACAGAAAGCCACGGCUAACUACGUG